Long non-coding RNA from Daphnia magna, 3048 nucleotides. RefSeq lists it as uncharacterized. Lineage: Eukaryota; Metazoa; Arthropoda; Branchiopoda; Diplostraca; Daphniidae. The record is from RefSeq and is a predicted model, not a curated record. The transcript is spliced from 10 exons.
UAUUCAGCACGUGGUUGGCAGUUGAUCAAGAGAACCCCAAUAGAACUUUCAAGCAAGGAAAUUGCAUUACGUAGCAUAAACAGCAUUAUGGUAUCGAAUGGUUUCUCAGAAUUUUGGCUAAACAAGUCUUUGGUGUUUUGGCCAAGUGCCAAAGCAUUGCAUUUGAUAGUCAACCGAAUGCAGCUUAAAUAUUAACAACCGCACACAAAGUAGGUAACAUAUGUGGUAGAAAAGAAAAUGGCGUAGUUGUGCACUUCUUUUUUUCCAACAUUGGAUCUUUUAACCUUUCCAUUCCAAGGUCUACUUUGCAAGGAUUGAAAGUAUGGUGAGGUAAAUGUACUAGCAUGAAGCCUUGAUGGACUACUUUUAUACAUAGGUAAUAAGACAUUUCACAGUCAUAUUAUAAUUUAAUAAGAUGUCAAACCAUUCGUGCCAAGUGAGAGAGUUACAAGGUCUUUUGAAUCUCAAGUUUCUAACAUAUUGUUCGACUUGCUUGAUUUGUGGGAUUUAUCCGAUUAACAUUGUUUGACAAAUUUUAUUACCACCUUUUGUCUGGGAAAGUUUGGUUUUAGAAAGAAGAGAGGAAUUAGCAACUUUGGUCUGAAGCAAAAGUAGCUGUUUGGACAGAGGCUGGAGCAGCAAUUGAUGAGUUAAAAUCUGUUUCUACUUGGUGUGAACCAGAAACUUGGGUGGAUACAAAUUGACCAACUGACGCGACUCUUGUCGUCUCAGACUUGGCAGAAACUACUGAAUACCCCAGACUCGUUUUUGGGCGUUAUGAUACCUUUGCUUGGUGGUUGUUUCUGCGUAGGAGACGAGGUCGUGUUUGUUUCACAGACAUAAGGAUACUUUUCUUCCCAUAAACUUUGUCCCUUUACGGCAUGACUUCAAAGUCAGACUGUGCUGAAUCACCCGGGGCUGGGAUCGCCUGGGCAAUGCCUUUGGUCAUUUUCAAGGGUAAUUUAAAAUCUGGUUACACAGACAACAGCAUUUCAACCGCAAACAGAAGAAUGUGCCAACGACAUCAGGACAUCCUAGCUGUUUUUAGUGCUCUGAUUCCUUUGAUAAUCGGCCGACAUGAUUUGAUUAUGUUGGUAUCUUCGUUGGCCGACGACUGGAAAUUUCUUGUGUGUAGGGUGUGGCGGGUGACAUUCUCAAUGCUCCUCGAUGCUAUUUCGCAAAAAUAUUGCUGUCAACAUUAACUACGUUAACGCACACGUGCACAAAACCAACGAACUUGGCGCUCAUAGUCUUCCCGCGUCCUCAAGUUUCAUUCCUCGCGUCACAGAAAGGGAGCCCAAUUGAUUUCUGGUACCAUCAGCAUAAGCAGGGGGAGCAAGACGCUGGAAUGGUGUGAGCGACCUGCCCCAGGAUGAAUGCUGGAUAUUAUUGCACGACCCAUCCAGCGUUCGGUAACGAGAGUCGAUUGUUGUUUGAUUACAAACGGAAUCCAUGGGGCACAUCUCAGAUAAAAUCGUGUCCUUCAAAUUAAAUUGGUUCAAUGCCAGCGCAACAUUCUCGGGGACUAGACGAGUAAAAACCUUUUGACAAUUUCACUGGCUGUAUAAGCUCCGAUGAUUGCCUCUCGGCUGAUUUUUUCAGAUUCUGCAGUUGUUGCAAAAACAAGUGCGUGAAUAGCACGAGACGAACCAGGUAAAACUAGAAUGUUAUUUUGAGUGAGUCGUUUUUCAAUCUCGCCCAUUGAACUCAUUUGUAAUCGACUCGCCUCGGCUGCUUGGUUCAUCGAUGGCGUGUUAAUGUUGUAAUUGAAACCAUUCUUUUCACCAAUUCUACCGAAUGGCGUUCGCAGAGGCGGCCCGUAACCUUUGAAAAUUAAUUGAAUUUGAAUAUUUCCAUACUAUUUGUAGGAAGAUCUGGACAACAAGCUCCUGGAUUUCCAUCUGAUAGUUUACACGCUGUUCCCGGAAUAGUUAGAAUCUGAUCGUACCAAACAGCACAGUCCUUGAUUGGACGGCAUUCUGACGGUAAAUCGUCAAUUUUGGGACAAGUGGCUAUGGAAUCGUUAAAAUUCCUGUAAGGGACAAAGCCACACAUGCCGCUGUUGAUGGGUGUCCGGGGAGUCGAUAAAGGAGCUUUCUUCAAAUAGCAAAAUCCUUCGUGAAGACGGAAAUGAUUACACUCGGGGUUAGCGACGCAGAGGCCGCCACAUAGUUCUCCAGUGCUCGCUAUUUUCCCGAUAUCAUGGCCGAAAAAAUCGCAAUUCAAAAGCCACUUGACUCCAUCCCCACCGGGGUUCCAAUGGUCUCGAUCUGACAAAAGGGAAUAUAACCGCAAACUCCCCCAUUGGUUGGUGUGCGAACAGUUGUUAUUGGUGCCGCUUUCAUGUAACAAAAUCCGUCAAAGUAGCGAAAGUGAGUACAUGGGCGCAUAGCGAUGCAAAUGUUGCCACAGUCUUCUCCGGAACUCGCGAUUUUAUGAAUGUCAUUGCCGUUAAAAUCGCAAUUUAUUUGCCAUUUGACGUCACGGGCGCCAAUUCUCCAGUCGUUCCCUGUGGACAUUACAGGGAAGAAACCCACAUACUCCACCACUAUGCGGUGUACGGAAAACUCCGAUGGGUGGAUUCUUUAAGUAACAGAAUCCAUCGUCGGAAUAAUGAAAAUGGGAGCACCUUGUAUUUGCAAUGCAAUGUCCACCGCAUUGUUCUCCCGUACUCGCCAAUCGUCCAAUAUCAUUACCAAAAAAAUCGCAGUUAAAUUGCCAUUUGACUCCAUCUUCUUCAGUGUUCCAGCCUUCCGCAUCUUGUUUAAUCGAUUGAAUUUGCGUGUCAUUCUCAGCGUUUACAUGAACGCUCCUAAUUUGAAUUUGCGUGUCAUUCUCAACGUUUGCAUGAACGCUCCAAAUUAAAACAUACAAAAUCCAGAUGGCCUUAAAUAGAAUUCUUCCCUUUUCAUGGCGCUGGAGUUGUUGAUCGUCAACCGGAGACGACAAGAAGAUGGUCACGCUUUUACUGCGGUGCAGGUAAUGCUUUGAAAAGUAUUUUCGGGGCUACUUAUAGUUUCAUACCUGAAGGUUCGCUCUUUUCAAGGC